AUGGGCGCAAGCCUGAUGCAGCCAUGCCGCGUGURUGAAGAAGGCCUUCGGGUUGUAAAGYACUUUCAGUCGUGAGGAAGGURGUGUMGUUAAUAGCKGCRUURUUUGACGUUAGCGACAGAAGAAGCACCGGCUAACUCCGUGCCAGCAGCCGCGGUAAUACGGAGGGUGCGAGCGUUAAUCGGAAUUACUGGGCGUAAAGCGCAUGCAGGUGGUUUGUUAAGUCAGAUGUGAAAGCCCGGGGCUCAACCUCGGAAUAGCAUUUGAAACUGGCAGACUAGAGUACUGUAGAGGGGGGUAGAAUUUCAGGUGUAGCGGUGAAAUGCGUAGAGAUCUGAAGGAAUACCGGUGGCGAAGGCGGCCCCCUGGACAGAUACUGACACUCAGAUGCGAAAGCGUGGGGAGCAAACAGGAUUAGAUACCCUGGUAGUCCACGCCGUAAACGAUGUCUACUUGGAGGUUGUGGCCUUGAGCCGUGGCUUUCGGAGCUAACGCGUUAAGUAGACCGCCUGGG
This 514-nucleotide ribosomal RNA is filed under the name Vibrio sp. sw8. RNAcentral's name for it is "bacterial SSU rRNA". It matches the Rfam family "Bacterial small subunit ribosomal RNA", at positions 371 to 877 of the family's 1533-position model. Lineage: Bacteria; Pseudomonadati; Pseudomonadota; Gammaproteobacteria; Vibrionales; Vibrionaceae. The record is from RNAcentral.